RNAcentral lists this ribosomal RNA (393 nucleotides) under uncultured bacterium. RNAcentral describes it as "partial 16S ribosomal RNA". It matches the Rfam family "Bacterial small subunit ribosomal RNA", at positions 523 to 918 of the family's 1533-position model. The record is from RNAcentral.
ACACGGAGGAUGCGAGCGUUAUCCGGAUUUAUUGGGUUUAAAGGGUGCGUAGGCGGACGAUUAAGUCAGCUGUGAAAUGCCCGCGCUUAACGCGGGAAGUGCAGUUGAUACUGGUUGUCUGGAGUGCCGUUGCCGUGGGGGGAAUGUGUAGUGUAGCGGUGAAAUGCAUAGAUAUUACACAGAACGCCGAUUGUGAAGACACCUCAGGAAGCGAUAGCUGACGCUGAGGCACGAAAGCGUGUGGAUCGAACAUGAUGAGAUACCCUGGUAGUCCGCGCUGUAAACGAACAACACUAUACGUAGGCGGAAGACCGCCGGUGGCCAAGCGAAAGCGAUAAGUCAUCCACCUGGGGAGCUCGACUGCAAGGUUGAAACUCAAAUGAGUUUACGGGU